AGUGAACGCUGGCGGUAGGCCUAACACAUGCAAGUCGAACGGCAGCACAGUAAGAGCUUGCUCUUACGGGUGGCGAGUGGCGGACGGGUGAGGAAUACAUCGGAAUCUACUUUUUCGUGGGGGAUAACGUAGGGAAACUUACGCUAAUACCGCAUACGACCUACGGGUGAAAGCAGGGGAUCUUCGGACCUUGCGCGAUUGAAUGAGCCGAUGUCGGAUUAGCUAGUUGGCGGGGUAAAGGCCCACCAAGGCGACGAUCCGUAGCUGGUCUGAGAGGAUGAUCAGCCACACUGGAACUGAGACACGGUCCAGACUCCUACGGGAGGCAGCAGUGGGGAAUAUUGGACAAUGGGAGGAAGCCUGAUCCAGCCAUACCGCGUGGGUGAAGAAGGCCUUCGGGUUGUAAAGCCCUUUUGUUGGGAAAGAAAAGAAGCAGGUGAAAAGCCCGCUGUUUUGACGGUACCCAAAGAAUAAGCACCGGCUAACUUCGUG
Molecule: ribosomal RNA, 492 nt
Filed under: uncultured bacterium
Lineage: Bacteria
Description: partial 16S ribosomal RNA
Rfam family: Bacterial small subunit ribosomal RNA
Source: RNAcentral